UGUUCAGAAGCAAUAUUUUAUUUGCUUUUACACAAUCUCAAUGCUAUUAUUAACAUUGUGCAGUAAUUUUAUACAGCUCUCUGCAGCACGCAAAACACUUCUACUGAAGUUAUCUCAUGUGUGGGCGGCAUGAGGCAUGAAGAAGGUGUCUGAGAUGGGUUUCCUCCACCAUCCUCAGUACCACCCUAGGAUGUUUUAUCUCCCUGCUUUCCAUUUGUAAAACAACAAAGGAAGAAUGUGAGACACUUGCGGGAGCAGGUAGCUCCCCAAGAGUAAGCCCUGUCUCUAGAGUAAGACUUUAAAUAUGCUUCUGGAGCAUGACCGAAAACAGUAUCUCACCAGAAUAACACAAAUAAUGUGUGUGUCACAUGACAAGUCAUCAUUAGCAAAGGGAAAACAUUCUUGUUUCAUAAGCCAGCAUGGUGCAUAUUUGUACUUAAAUGGGACCCUCUUUGAGGAGCAGCUCAGAUCCUAAAAGUGAGAAUCCGCAUGACCAUUUCUCUAUGGUUUCCAUUACUAAACGCAUUAUUUAAUCGACAUCUUUAGAUCGAAAAUCACUCAAUUUGUAUGAUGUAUUUUACUCUUACUAUGCAUUAGGAUGGCAUCCUCUUAAUGACUUUAUAAAGUGUUGUUAAUAAUGAAAAAAGAUAGGCUAAGGAAAAAGCACCAUAAAAAGAGAAUUCGUUAUGACUGAAAUUAAUAACAGAGAAGUAAAAAUUGGGACAAAGGAUGACUCUGACAUUUCUUUCUUGGUAAGUGAUAGUAACAGAUCCCUCAAAAGGGUUGCACUGCAGACGCCUACGUGUGCAGAGGAAUGUGACUGUGAAAACGGCUUGUGAGGCUUCAGGCCAAAGUAGAGAGAGAUGCACAGGUGCACUCUGAGAAAAGAAAGGUUUGUCUUCUUGUUUUGAGGUCCUAGGAGAGGCACAGGGCCUGUGGCCCAGAUACAGUGCCACACGCAGGUCUCGGGACUGGGUCAGAACAAAUGGCUCAGGACCAUUCACUCUUUUGUGACUCAGACUAGCAAUUAGCCUCUCUGCAUCCUCCUGGCCUUCUCACUUGUGAGGUGAGGCCAAUUGCCCCCUAUCCUAUAGAUGUUGUGUGUGAAUAAAUGAGGAUUUGUCAACAAAAUAAGAUGAAUGAGCUCCUUGGGAACGGGUGCCAUUUAAAUGCAAGCCACAGCUUCUUCAGCCUUUCUGCCUUGGCCAGGAGUUCACCUGCAUGACCUGAACUCACUUCACACAGACCCAAAGUCUCAGAGCUGCAGUUGAAUGUUUCUUUCUGCUUUUAAGACAUUUGAAGCUGGGCAGGGGGCUCAUACCAGUCAUCCCAGCGCUUUGGGAGGCUGAGGUGGGAGGAUCACUUGAGGCCAGGAGUUUGAAAUCAGUGUGGGCAACAUAGUGAGAUUCCAUCUCUAUCAAAAAUAAUUUUAAAAAUUAGCUGGGUAUGGGCUGGGUGCAGUGGCUCAUACCCGUAAUCCCAGCACUUUGGGAGGCCGAGGCGGGCAGAUCACCUGAGGUCAGGAGUUCAAGACCAGCCUGGCCAACAUGGCAAAAACCUAAAUACUAAAAAUAUAAAAAAUUAGCCGGGUGUGGUGGCAGGCGCCUGUAAUCCUAGCUACUCGGGAGGCUGAGGCAUGAGAAUUGCUUGAACCUGGGAGGUAGAGAUAGUGUCACUGCACUCCAGCCUGGGUUACAAGAGCAACUCGGUCUCCAAAAAAAAAUUAUCUGGGCAUGAUGGAGUGUGCCUGUAGUCCCAGCUACUUGGGAGACUGAGGCAGGAGGAUCAUUUGAGUGGUGCAAUCUCGGGUCACUGCAGCCUUGACCUCCCUGGGCUCAAGUGAUCCUCUUGCCUCAGCGUCCUGAGUAGCUGGGACCACAGGUGCACACCGCCACACCUGGCUAAUUUUUGUAUUUUUGUAUAGAUGGGGCUGGCUAUGUUGCCCCCUCCUUUCCUCACUUUCUUCCUCAAAUGCACUUUGCCAUUAACAUGAAUGUCCAUCCUGAGGUUUCAGCAGAUCAGAAAAGUUUCCUCAAUACCUCGUCCAGCUAGACUCCGGAAAUGUGAAAUGAUAAAAUUAGGGAAAUAGAUAGCUUUGGAAAUGUGAAAUAAAAUUAGGGAAAUAGCUCCUAAACAGCAAUAUUUGAGUCCAUAAUAGAGGUGCACAGUGUGAACAGUGAGAGGAAGCAGAUCAAACAGCCCUGUUUCCCAACCUAAAACACCCAGGGAAGUGGUUUUCACAUGUUAAACAACAUACAAAGCACCUGGGAAGUGAUUUCCUGAGCCAAUCUCUGGAAAUUAAGAUUUAGUAAACUAGCAUGGAACCCAGGAAUCUGCAUUCUGACAAGAUCUCAAAAGUAAUUUUGAUGGAAAUUUCUAAAAUGGACCACAUUUUGGCAAAUGCUGAUGUAUGAAAUAACUGCCAUAGAGCCAUAAUAUCCAAAGUGGAGUACAGAUAUAAAAUAUAUAAUACAUAAUAUAAUAUUUCAACAUAUUAUAUGAACAUGCAGGUAAAUUAAGAAGCAUGACAGGCAAGGCGCGGCUCUCGCCUAUAAUUCUAGCCUGAGUGACAGAGCAAGAUCCUGUCUCUCUAAAACAAAACAAAACAAAACACCAACGUGAUAGGAUGAACACUGCGAAUGCUGCAUCCUAUCUGAAAACUAGAACAUGACCCAAUGUGUGGCGUCUCCCGUGGGGCUCUUUUCUCUAUCCCCUUCCCCAGACUCCUUUGCAGACACUUUCCUUAAUUUGUGUUUACUAUGCUCUUGCUUUUAGAAAUAUUAGUUUUGGCCAGGCACAGCGGCUCAUGCCUAUAACCCAACACUUUGAGGGGGCUGAGGCAGGAGGAUCACUUGAGCUCCACAGUUCAAGACCCGGCUGGGUAACACAGGGAGACCCCGUCUCUACAAAACAAAAACAAAA
Molecule: long non-coding RNA, 2922 nt
Filed under: Homo sapiens (human)
Lineage: Eukaryota; Metazoa; Chordata; Mammalia; Primates; Hominidae
Description: HSALNT0131321
Source: RNAcentral